ACUCUUAUAUUAAAGCUUGUUCCAAUAUAUAUUUGGUCAAGCUAUUAAGGGCUGCUGGUGGAUGCCUAGGCAUCAAUAGGCGAUGAAGGACGCGUUUACCUGCGAAAAGCUCCGGCGAGCUGGAAUAAAGCUGCGACCCGGAGAUAUCCGAAUGGGGCAACCCAAUGGGACUAAUCUCCCAUUAUCUUUAGCUGAAUACAUAGGCUAUAGAAGCGAUACCUGCUGAACUGAAACAUCUUAGUAAGCAGAGGAAAAGAAAUCAAUUGAGAUUCCCUAAGUAGCGGCGAGCGAAACGGGAUGAGCCCAAACCAAAGUCUUUGACUUUGGGGUUGUAGGACCAGCCAAAAGAUUUGGAAAUUCUAGUCGAAUACUUCUGGAAAGUUGAGCGACACAGGGUGAUAGCCCCGUAGACGAAAGAAUGACCAAACAAGGCAGGCACCUGAGUAGGGCCGGACACGUGAAACCCGGUCUGAAUCUGGGGAGACCACUCUCCAAGGCUAAAUACUAAUUGAUGACCGAUAGUGAACCAGUACCGUGAGGGAAAGGUGAAAAGAACCCCGAUGAGGGGAGUGAAAUAGAACCUGAAACCAGCAGCUUACAAACGGUCGAAGGCCUAUGUCCUUUUUAAGGAAAUGGCUAACGGCGUGCCUUUUGCAUGAUGAGCCAGCGAGUUACUAUUAAAUGGCAAGGUUAAGGGACAACGUUCUGGAGCCGAAGCGAAAGCGAGUGUUAAAAGCGCGUAUAGUCAUUUGAUGUAGACACGAAACCGAGUGAUCUAUCCAUGACCAGGUUGAAGCAAGGGUAACACCUUGUGGAGGACCGAACUAGUUGCCGUUGAAAAGGCUUUGGAUGAGUUGUGGAUAGGGGUGAAAGGCCAAUCAAACUCGGAGAUAUCUUGUUCUCUUCGAAAUAACUUUCGGGUUAGCCUCGAACAUAAUUAUCUACAGGGGUAGAGCACUGAAUUCACGCGGGGGCCUACCGGCCUACCAAAGGAAAUCAAACUCCGAAUACUGUAGAUUCGUUCGGGAGAUAGACAGUGGGGGAUAAGCUUCAUUGUCAAAAGGGGAACAGCCCAGAUCGCCGAUUAAGGCCCCAAAUUCUAUGCUAAGUGAGUAAGGAAGUGGAGUUUCUAAAACAGUUGGAAUGUUGGCUUAGAGGCAGCCAUCAUUUAAAGAGUGCGUAACAGCUCACCAAUCGAGAAACUCUGCGCCGAUAAUAUCCGGGACUAAUAAGCAUAGAGCCGAAAUCGCGGGUUUAGCUUGUAAAAGCUAAGCGGUAGGAGAGCGUAGUAUGUGCAGCGAAGAUGUACCGUAAGGAGCAUUGGAGCGCAUACUAGUGAUAAUGCAUGGCAUGAGUAAACGAUAAAGGAGGUGAAAAUCCUCCUCGCCGAAAAUCCAAGGUUUCCAGGGUAAAGCUCGUCUUCCCUGGGUUAGCCGGUCCCUAAGCCGAGGCUGAAAAGCGUAGGCGAUGGCAAGCAGGUUAAAUAUUCCUGCGCCACCUAAAACUAUGAUGAUGAGUUGACGAAGUACGUUAAGCACGCGGACGAUUGGAAGUGUCCGUGGACAUAUGAGGCCGGCUAGUAGGCAAAUCCGCUAGCAUAAAGCCAGGUAUGGACCAAGGGGAGCCCUCGGGUGAACCGAUAGUGUAGCGCAACGCUUCCAAGAAAUAGACUCUAAUCGUUGAUGGUGACCGUACCAAAACCGACACAGGUGGAUGGGAAGAAUAUUCUCAGGCGCGCGAGAGAACUCUCGUUAAGGAACUCGGCAAAUUAUCCCCGUAACUUCGGGAGAAGGGGAGCCACGGGGUGUGACAUUCUUCGCGAAUGAAGCAUCAAGUGGCCGCAGAGAAAUGGCCCAGGCGACUGUUUAACAAAAACACAGCACUAUGCAAAGUCGUCUAAGACGAAGUAUAUGGUGUGAUGCCUGCCCAAUGCCAAAAGGUCAAAAGGAGAAGUUAGUGCGCAAGUGCGAAGCUUUGAAUUUAAGCCCUGGUGAAUGGCGGCCGUAACUAUAACGGUCCUAAGGUAGCGAAAUUCCUUGUCGGGUAAGUUCCGACCUGCACGAAUGGUAUAACGAUCUGGGCACUGUCUCAACGAGAGACUCGGUGAAAUUGUAGUAGCAGUGAAGAUGCUGUUUACCCGCAAUAAGACGGAAAGACCCCGUGAACCUUUACUGUACUCUGAUAUUGGCUUUUGACUUGUCAUGUGUAGGAUAACCAGGAGACAUUGAAGUCCCCUCGUCAGGGGGGAUGGAGUCAACGUUGAAAUACUGGUCUUGACAAGCCGGAAAUCUAACGAAAUUCCAUGAAUCUGGAAUUCGGACAUUGUCAGACGGGCAGUUUUGCUGGGGCGGUAUCCUCCUAAAAGGUAACGGAGGAGUCCAAAGCUUGCCUCAUCGUGGUUGGUAAUCACGAGUCGAGCGUAAAGGUAUAAGGCAAGUUAACUGCGAGACCAACAAGUCGAGCAGAUACGAAAGUAGGGCUUAGUGAUCCGGCGGUGGAAAGUGGAAUCGCCGUCGCUCAACGGAUAAAAGGUACUCCGGGGAUAACAGGCUUAUCGCCACCAAGAGUUCAUAUCGACGUGGCGGUUUGGCACCUCGAUGUCGACUCAUCGCAUCCUGGGGCUGGAGAAGGUCCCAAGGGUUUGGCUGUUCGCCAAUUAAAGCGGUACGCGAGUUGGGUUCAAAACGUCGUGAGACAGUUUGGUCCCUAUCUGUUGUGGGCGUAGGAUACUUGAGAGGAGCUGCUUCUAGUACGAGAGGACCGAAGUGGACGAACCAAUGGUGUUCCGGUUGUUCUGCCAAGAGCAUCGCCGGGUAGCUAUGUUCGGAAAGGAUAAGCGUUGAAAGCAUCUAAACGCCAAGCCCCCCUCAAGAUAAGGUAUCCCUAUGAGACUCCAUGUAGACCACGUGGUAGAUAGGUUGGGUGUGUAAGCACAGUAAUGUGUUGAGCUAACCAAUACUAAUCAGUCCAUUGGCUUGACCACCUUUUUUUAAGAAUGAAGAGAUGAAGACCAUAAAGUCAUCUUGGAUAGAAA
RNAcentral lists this ribosomal RNA (3034 nucleotides) under Parachlamydia acanthamoebae UV-7. RNAcentral describes it as "bacterial LSU rRNA". It matches the Rfam family "Bacterial large subunit ribosomal RNA". Lineage: Bacteria; Pseudomonadati; Chlamydiota; Chlamydiia; Parachlamydiales; Parachlamydiaceae. The record is from RNAcentral.